GCUAGUAGUCCCAGCCUACAGUAUGGAGCUCUCUUUACUGUUCCCUCAGUGAACGUUUCCAACUCUUGCUCUUCAUGUUCGGUUUCUAAUUCUGCAACCCACUCUUUCCUUGUCUCUACAUCUAAAAGCAACGCCUGGCGACACUGACCUCUUCCGGCCGUUGAAGCGACUGCAGUCACUUGCACUUGUGUGGACGCUGCCAUUCAUACUGGGCCUCUAGUGCAUCACCUGCUUUGUUGAGUUAAAAAUGUCCUCAUGGAGGAGCAGCAAAAAGUACACCCAAAUUAUGAUUGAUCAAAAAAGACUUCCAUAUCAGUUUCUUAAAAAAAGGGGAUGCACGGCGGACAAGUGGUUAGCGCGCAGACCCCACAGCUAGGAGACCCAAGUUCAAUUCCACCCUCGACCAUCUCUGUGUGGAGUUUGCAUGUUCUUCCCGUGCAUGCAUGGGUUUUCUCCGGGUACUCCGGUUUCCUCCCACAUUCCAAAAACAUGCUAGGUUAAUUGGCGACUCCAAAUUGUCCAUAGGUAUGAAUGUGAGUGUGAAUGGUUGUUUGUCUAUAUGUGCCCUGUGAUUGGCUGGCCACCAGUCCAGGGUGUACCCCGCCUCUCGCCCGAACACAGCUGGGAUAGGCUCCAGCACCUCCGCGACCCUCGUGAGGAUAAGCGGUGGAAAUGAAUGAAUAGUGCUUUUUAAAGUACCCAAAGCUCUUCACAGUGAAAUUAACCAAUUUUUCAUUCACCCCUCAGUCACACACUGGUGGUGGUAUUGUACAUCUGUAGCCACAGCUGCCCUGGGCGAGACUGACUGACUGAAACGUGGUUCCCGAUUCGUGUCUAUGGCCUCUCCGGCCAUCACCAAACACUCAUUCACAUUCAUACAACAGUGUGGGUAACAGCGGAGGCAAGGUGGGAGACGUGUCUUUCCCAAUUCCCAAGGACACAGCAACAAUGCUUGAGUGGAGGGAGCAAGGAUGGAAAAGUCGUUCUAAAAGGGUUGACAAAUUAUUUUCAUCAUAGCUUUCGUUAACUAAUCAAAACAAAUGCACAAUGACAAAAAUUCGGAUGUAAUGAAGUGAAAAACAAGACAAAAAUGUUGACAGAAAUGAAAUAUCUUGUAGACUAUUCCAACAAGUUAGGGAUAUAUCCAAUCACAGCAAAAGCGUGUCCAUGACCAUGGUUACAUCUGAAUGGAAUGCUAGCGAGGAUGAUACCACCCAAACCAACAACUUAUUUUGCACCAAAAAGAGAAAAAACAGUCCCAAAAUGGAUUAUGGCUAAUUAUGAUUCCAUUAUAUGUCAUUCCUACCGUCAAAAGCUGCACCAUGUCAACAGAGUGGUGCCCUGAAUGUUCCGUCUUGGCAUCAGGCCGUGGCUGCAGUGAGCUUGAUGUGGGUACUACAGGCAGAGGUGUUGUCAGGAAACAUGGGGGGCCUUUCUGUGGCGAUAAAUCUGGCUUGUGAUUCAUUGGAGACUGGUACGAGGGUGAGGCUCCCUCCCGUGGUAUCCGGGACAUGUGCAGGAUGUCAGAAGAGGUAGAAUGGCGGAGGUGAGGACUGUCUGGCUUGAGGUCACUUACUCCCACAAGCGACUGGGGUAUUUUACACCUGUGACCCAGUUCCGGUUCUAGAGGAAUCUGAUAUUUAGAAAUGAGCAAAGAUGUCAGAAUGAGGAUUAAGGAUUUGGUAAAGUAUGCUAAUUGUGUACGGUCCUAAAAGCAUACCUGUGAAGAUGUGCCGCCUUGGUUCACCAGGCCGUGUCCUGAUGAAGGAUGUCCAGUUAAUUGUGUCGGGAAACCCCGGGGUUCACGAUACACUGAAAAUGAGGCACCACUUCCCAGAUGCACCAACUGGAUCCCAUGUGCGUGAGGAGACACCAUGACAGGACUAGAUGAGUGGACCUGUCUUAUUCUACUUUCAUUGUUGGGUGAAUGGAUGAGCUGUCCUUCUAUUGGUUGGUGGGAUUCUUUUCUUGAAACCUCACUGCUCUUCCUCACAAUGGGACACU
This is a non-coding RNA of Doryrhamphus excisus (bluestripe pipefish), 2004 nucleotides long. The record is from RefSeq and is a predicted model, not a curated record. Lineage: Eukaryota; Metazoa; Chordata; Actinopteri; Syngnathiformes; Syngnathidae.